RNAcentral lists this ribosomal RNA (468 nucleotides) under uncultured bacterium. RNAcentral's name for it is "partial 16S ribosomal RNA". It matches the Rfam family "Bacterial small subunit ribosomal RNA", at positions 28 to 507 of the family's 1533-position model. The record is from RNAcentral.
GACGAACGCUGGCGGCGUGCUUAACACAUGCAAGUCGAACGGAAAGGCCCUGCUUUUGUGGGGUGCUCGAGUGGCGAACGGGUGAGUAACACGUGAGUAACCUGCCCUUGACUUUGGGAUAACUUCAGGAAACUGGGGCUAAUACCGGAUAGGAGCUCCUGCUUCAUGGUGGGGGUUGGAAAGUUUCGGCGGUUGGGGAUGGACUCGCGGCUUAUCAGCUUGUUGGUGGGGUAGUGGCUUACCAAGGCUUUGACGGGUAGCCGGCCUGAGAGGGUGACCGGCCACAUUGGGACUGAGAUACGGCCCAGACUCCUACGGGAGGCAGCAGUGGGGAAUAUUGCACAAUGGGCGGAAGCCUGAUGCAGCAACGCCGCAUGCGGGAUGACGGCCUUCGGGUUGUAAACCGCUUUCGCCUGUGACGAAGCGUGAGUGACGGUAAUGGGUAAAGAAGCACCGGCUAACUACGUG